Long non-coding RNA from Loxodonta africana (African savanna elephant), 323 nucleotides. It matches the Rfam family "Six3os1 conserved region 4". The record is from Rfam. Lineage: Eukaryota; Metazoa; Chordata; Mammalia; Proboscidea; Elephantidae.
UAAGCCGUGCUCAGAAGUCAAGAGCAGGGGCAACGCGGUCUCCGCACGGCCUUUCAUGCCACGGCUGCUCCUUAUUCUUGUGCUUCGGCCUCUCCGGGCGCCCCCGGACAAAGCCUCGGAGCCCGGCCGCUCACUUCCCGCUAAAUCCCCUUCGGGGUCAGUGCGCCACCGGCACCGGGCCGCCCGCCUCUCCUGCCAGCCGUGUGGCUCUUAAAGAGAUGCACCCCCCCUCCGCCCUGCGCGCUCCCCGACCCUCUCCUCCCCGCCCCUCUCCUCCGGAUCUAGCCCCCCACGCCGACGCCCGAGGCCCCUGCUGCCCCGGC